RNAcentral lists this ribosomal RNA (301 nucleotides) under uncultured bacterium. RNAcentral describes it as "partial 16S ribosomal RNA". It matches the Rfam family "Bacterial small subunit ribosomal RNA", at positions 509 to 807 of the family's 1533-position model. The record is from RNAcentral.
CAGUCGCCACGGGAAUACGUAGGGUGCAAGCGUUAAUCGGAAUUACUGGGCGUAAAGCGUUCGCAGGCGGUUUUGUAAGACAGAGGUGAAAUCCCCGGGCUCAACCUGGUAACUGCCUUUGUGACUGCAAGGCUAGAGUACGGCAGAGGGGGAUGGAAUUCCGCGUGUAGCAGUGAAAUGCGUAGAUAUGCGGAGGAACACCGAUGGCUAAGGCAAUCCCCUGGGCCUGUACUGACGCUCAUGCACGAAAGCGUGGGGAGCAAACAGGAUUAGAUACCCCCGUAGUCCCUGUCUCUUAUAC